AAGGGUGCGUAGGCGGCCUGUUAAGUCAGCGGUGAAAUCUAGGAGCUUAACUCCUAAAUUGCCAUUGAUACUGGCGGGCUUGAGUGUAGAUGAGGUAGGCGGAAUGCGUGGUGUAGCGGUGGAAUGCAUAGAUAUCACGCAGAACUCCGAUUGCGAAGGCAGCUUACUAAGGUACAACUGACGCUGAAGCACGAAAGCGUGGGUAUCAAACAGGAUUAGAUACCCUGGUAGUCCACGCUGUAAACGAUGAUAACUGGGCGUAUGCGAUAUACAGUAUGCUCCUAAGCGAAAGCGUUAAGUUAUCCACCUGGGGAGUACGCCGGCAACGGUGAAACUCAAAGGAAUUGACGGGGGCCCGCACAAGCGGAGGAACAUGUGGUUUAAUUCGAUGAUACGCGAGGAACCUUACCCGGGAUUGAA
Molecule: ribosomal RNA, 420 nt
Filed under: uncultured bacterium
Lineage: Bacteria
Description: bacterial SSU rRNA
Rfam family: Bacterial small subunit ribosomal RNA
Source: RNAcentral